UACGUAGGGGGCGAGCGUUGUCCGGAGUUACUGGGCGUAAAGGGCACGCAGGCGGUCAUGUAAGUCUGUUCUGACAGCUCCUGGCUCAACCGGGAGAGGCGAACGGAAACUGUAUGACUUGGGGACUUCAGAGGGACACGGAAUUCCGGGUGGAGUGGUGAAAUGCGUAGAGAUCCGGAGGAACACCAAAGGCGAAGGCAGUGUCCUGGGAAGUACCUGACGCUCAGGUGCGAAAGCCAGGGGAGCGAACGGG
This 253-nucleotide ribosomal RNA is filed under the name uncultured bacterium. Its description in RNAcentral is "partial 16S ribosomal RNA". It matches the Rfam family "Bacterial small subunit ribosomal RNA", at positions 524 to 776 of the family's 1533-position model. The record is from RNAcentral.